Molecule: ribosomal RNA, 253 nt
Filed under: uncultured bacterium
Lineage: Bacteria
Description: partial 16S ribosomal RNA
Rfam family: Bacterial small subunit ribosomal RNA
Source: RNAcentral
UACGAAGGGGGCUAGCGUUGCUCGGAAUUACUGGGCGUAAAGGGCGCGUAGGCGAACAGUUUAGUCAGAGGUGAAAGCCCAGGGCUCAACCUUGGAAUUGCCUUUGAUACUGGCUGUCUUGAGUUCGGGAGAGGUGAGUGGAAUGCCGAGUGUAGAGGUGAAAUUCGUAGAUAUUCGGCGGAACACCAGUGGCGAAGGCGACUCACUGGCCCGAUACUGACGCUGAGGCGCGAAAGCGUGGGGAGCAAACAGG